RNAcentral lists this small RNA (405 nucleotides) under Arabidopsis thaliana (thale cress). Its description in RNAcentral is "ATSL136560". The record is from RNAcentral. Lineage: Eukaryota; Viridiplantae; Streptophyta; Magnoliopsida; Brassicales; Brassicaceae.
AUUAAUAUUUAGGAAAAAGUGAAAAAAAAAACAAAAUGUUAAAAAAGCGCGAACUUUUAAAUUUGGGACGAAAAAAGCAUGAACUUUCGAAAUGUCAUUUAAAUCACAAAGUUUCGUUUGACUUUUUAAAAAAAUUGUCAAGUUUCGUUGACUUGGCCAUUUUGGGCACGUCGUUAAAUUUCUGUUAACGACAUUAACUUUCUGUUACAGAUUUCUGUUAAAUCGAAACGACGUCGUUUUUAGAUCUCCAAAACGACGUCGUUUCAUUAGAAAAUAAUGAUGCAAAAUCCGCGUCCACAAUGGCUCGAACAUAUGACCUAUUGGACUCAUAUGGGGCAAUAUACCGCUGAGCUACGACAAUAAUUUACAAUAAUAACAAACAUUGCAUACAUAUACUAACCAAUA